AGUGGUUCUCCGGUGUGGACAAACUCACAGAGGCUGAGAGUUACAGCCAGUCAUGUGAGAUCGAGCCAUUGUCAGAGUCAGCCUCCAACACUCUCAAGAAGAAGAACACAGGAAUCAUCAAACGCUGGAGCGAUCGCCAGCCUGCCAGCUCGGAGCCAGGCUGCAGCAGUGCGGGCAGCUCCCACUCCAAGUCCUUUGACCAGCUGCGUUACGCCCCCU
Molecule: long non-coding RNA, 219 nt
Organism: Oncorhynchus masou masou (cherry salmon)
Lineage: Eukaryota; Metazoa; Chordata; Actinopteri; Salmoniformes; Salmonidae
Exons: 3
Source: RefSeq, a predicted model, not a curated record